CCCGCACAAGCAGUGGAGUAUGUGGUUUAAUUCGAAGCAACGCGAAGAACCUUACCAGGGCUUGACAUCCCUUGAAGCAGCUAGAGAUAGCUGUGUCCUUCGGGACAAGGAGACAGGUGGUGCAUGGUUGUCGUCAGCUCGUGUCGUGAGAUGUUGGGUUAAGUCCCGCAACGAGCGCAACCCCUGUGGUUAGUUGCCAGCAAGUAGCGUUGGGCACUCUAGCCAGACUGCCGGUGAUAAAUCGGAGGAAGGUGGGGACGACGUCAAAUCAUCAUGCCCUUUAUGUCCUGGGCUACACACGUACUACAAUGGCCGGUACAGACGGACGCAAAGCCGCGAGGUGGAGCAAAUCCUAAAAAGCCGGUCUCAGUUCGGAUUGCAGGCUGCAAUUCGCCUGCAUGAAGUCGGAAUCGCUAGUAAUCGCAGGUCAGCAUACUGCGGUGAAUACGUUCCCGGGCCUU
RNAcentral lists this ribosomal RNA (461 nucleotides) under uncultured Oscillospiraceae bacterium. Its description in RNAcentral is "bacterial SSU rRNA". It matches the Rfam family "Bacterial small subunit ribosomal RNA", at positions 920 to 1382 of the family's 1533-position model. The record is from RNAcentral. Lineage: Bacteria; Bacillati; Bacillota; Clostridia; Eubacteriales; Oscillospiraceae.